Molecule: ribosomal RNA, 348 nt
Filed under: uncultured bacterium
Lineage: Bacteria
Description: partial 16S ribosomal RNA
Rfam family: Bacterial small subunit ribosomal RNA
Source: RNAcentral
CCUACGGGAGGCAGCAGUGAGGAAUAUUGGUCAAUGGACGAGAGUCGGAACCAGCCAAGUAGCGUGAAGGAUGACUGCUCUAUGGGUUGUAAACUUCUUUUAUAAAGGAAUAACACGAGACACGUGUGCCUUUUUGCAUGUACUUUAUGAAUAAGGAUCCGCUAACUCCGUGCCAGCAGCCGCGGUAAUACGGAGGAUCUGAUCUUUAUCCGGAUUUAUUGGGUUUAAAGGGAGCGUAGAUGGGUUGUUAAGUCAGUUGUGAAAGUUUGCGGCACAACCUUAAAAUUAGAAUUGAAACUGGCAGUCUUGAGUACAGUUGAGGUAGGCGGAAGUCGUUGUGUAGCGGUG